AAUCAACGCUGGCGGCGUGCCUAACACAUGCAAGUCGAACGCGAGAGGGGCUUCGGCCCGAUUGAGUGGCGAACGGGUGAGUAACGCGUGGGUGACCUACCUUCGAGUGGGGGAUAACGUCCCGAAAGGGACGCUAAUACCGCAUAACAUCCUGCUUUGAAUGGGUGGAGAUCAAAGCCGGGGAGUCGCAAGACCUGGCGCUUGAUGAGGGGCCCCGCGUCUGAUUAGCUAGUUGGGAGGUAACGGCCCACCAAGGCAACGAUCAGUAUCCGGCCUGAGAGGGCGGACGGACACACUGGGACUGAGACACGGGCCCA
This 317-nucleotide ribosomal RNA is filed under the name uncultured bacterium. RNAcentral's name for it is "bacterial SSU rRNA". It matches the Rfam family "Bacterial small subunit ribosomal RNA", at positions 32 to 333 of the family's 1533-position model. The record is from RNAcentral.